RNAcentral lists this ribosomal RNA (460 nucleotides) under uncultured bacterium. RNAcentral's name for it is "partial 16S ribosomal RNA". It matches the Rfam family "Bacterial small subunit ribosomal RNA", at positions 338 to 795 of the family's 1533-position model. The record is from RNAcentral.
CCUACGGGAGGCAGCAGUGAGGAAUAUUGGUCAAUGGGCGCAAGCCUGAACCAGCCAAGUAGCGUGAAGGAUGACUGCCCUACGGGUUGUAAACUUCUUUUAUAAGGGAAUAAAGUGAGGCACGUGUGCCUUUUUGUAUGUACUUUAUGAAUAAGGCUCGGCUAACUCCGUGCCAGCAGCCGCGGUAAUACGUAGGAUCCGAUCUUUAUCCGGAUUUAUUAGGUUUAAAGGGAGCGUAGAUGGGUUGUUAAGUCAGUUGUGAAAGUUUGCGGAUCAACCGUAAAAUUGCAAUUGAUACUGGCAGCCUUGAGUACAGUUGAGGUAGGCGGAAUUCGUGGUGUAGCAGUGAAAUGCUUAGAUAUCACGAAGAACUCCGAUUGCGAAGGCAGCCUACUAAACUGCCACUGACAUUGAUGCUCGAAAGUGUGGGUAUCAAACAGGAUUAGAUACCCCUGUAGUC